UACAGAGGUCCCAAGCGUUGUUCGGAUUCACUGGGCGUAAAGGGUGCGUAGGCGGCAAGGUAAGUCUAAUGUGAAAUCCCGUAGCUCAACUGCGGAACUGCAUCGGAUACUAUCUUGCUAGAGAGUUGGAUGGGGGACUGGAAUUCUCGGUGUAGCAGUGAAAUGCGUAGAUAUCGAGAGGAACACCAGUGGCGAAGGCGAGUCCCUGGAAAACUUCUGACGCUGAGGCACGAAAGCCAGGGGAGCAAACGGG
RNAcentral lists this ribosomal RNA (253 nucleotides) under uncultured bacterium. RNAcentral's name for it is "partial 16S ribosomal RNA". It matches the Rfam family "Bacterial small subunit ribosomal RNA", at positions 524 to 776 of the family's 1533-position model. The record is from RNAcentral.